AACGAACGCUGGCGGCAUGCCUAACACAUGCAAGUCGAACGAGACCUUCGGGUCUAGUGGCGCACGGGUGCGUAACGCGUGGGAACCUGCCCUUAGGUUCGGAAUAACUCCCCGAAAGGGGUGCUAAUACCGGAUAAUGUCUUCGGACCAAAGAUUUAUCGCCUUUGGAUGGGCCCGCGUUGGAUUAGCUAGUUGGUAGGGUAAAAGCCUACCAAGGCGACGAUCCAUAGCUGGUCUGAGAGGAUGAUAAGCCACACUGGGACUGAGACACGGCCCAGACUCCUACGGGAGGCAGCAGUGGGGAAGAUUGGACAAGGGGCGGAAGCCUGAUCCAGCAAUGCUGCGUGAGUGAUGAAGGCCUUAGGGUUGGAAAGCUCUUUUACCCGGGAUGAUAAUGACAGUACCGGGCGAAUAAGCUCCGGCUAACUCCGUG
Molecule: ribosomal RNA, 433 nt
Filed under: uncultured bacterium
Lineage: Bacteria
Description: partial 16S ribosomal RNA
Rfam family: Bacterial small subunit ribosomal RNA
Source: RNAcentral